Molecule: ribosomal RNA, 301 nt
Filed under: uncultured bacterium
Lineage: Bacteria
Description: partial 16S ribosomal RNA
Rfam family: Bacterial small subunit ribosomal RNA
Source: RNAcentral
CAGUCGCCGCGGGAACACAGAGGGUGCAAGCGUUAAUCGGAAUUACUGGGCGUAAAGCGCGCGUAGGUGGUUUGUUAAGUUGGAUGUGAAAGCCCCGGUCUCAACCUGGGAACUGCAUCCAAAACUGGCAAGCUAGAGUACGGUAGAGGGUGGUGGAAUUUCCUGUGUAGCGGUGAAAUGCGUAGAUAUAGGAAGGAACACCAGUGGCGAAGGCGACCACCUGGACUGAUACUGACACUGAGGUGCGAAAGCGUGGGGAGCAAACAGGAUUAGAGACCCCGGUAGUCCCUGUCUCUUAUAC